ACGCUCGACACCUACGGGGGCAGCAGUGGGGAAUAUUGCACAAUGGGGGAAACCCUGAUGCAGCGACGCCGCGUGAGUGAAGAAGUAUUUCGGUAUGUAAAGCUCUAUCAGCAGGGAAGAAGAUGACGGUACCUGAGUAAGAAGCCCCGGCUAACUACGUGUCAGCAGCCGCGGUAAUCUGAGCGGGCUGGCAAGGC
This 197-nucleotide ribosomal RNA is filed under the name uncultured bacterium. RNAcentral describes it as "partial 16S ribosomal RNA". It matches the Rfam family "Bacterial small subunit ribosomal RNA", at positions 328 to 539 of the family's 1533-position model. The record is from RNAcentral.